Molecule: ribosomal RNA, 1492 nt
Filed under: oral metagenome
Description: bacterial SSU rRNA
Rfam family: Bacterial small subunit ribosomal RNA
Source: RNAcentral
AGAGUUUGAUCCUGGCUCAGAACGAACGCUGGCGGCAGGCCUGAGGCAUGCAAGUCGAACGAUAAAGUGUAGUAAUACAUGAUUAAAGUGGCGCACGAGUGAGUAACGCGUGGGAAUAUACCUUUUUGUGGGGAAUAACGUUUGGAAACGAACGCUAAUACCGCAUACGCCGUUUUGGUUGGUGCCAUUACGGGAAAGAUUUAUCGCAAAAAGAUUAGCCCGCGUUGGAUUAGUUUGUUGGUGGGGUAAAGGCCUACCAAGACUAUGAUCCAUAGCUGGUCUGAGAGGACGAUCAGCCACGCUGGAACUGAGACACGGUCCAGACUCCUACGGGAGGCAGCAGCUAGGAAUAUUGGACAAUGGGCGAAAGCCUGAUCCAGCCAUGCCGCGUGAGUGAAGAAGGCCUUCGGGUUGUAAAACUCUUUUAAUAGUGAAGAUAAUGACGGUAGCUAUAGAAAAAGCCCCGGCUAACUUCGUGCCAGCAGCCGCGGUAAUACGAAGGGGGCUAGCGUUGUUCGGAUUUACUGGGCGUAAAGCGCAUGUAGGCGGUUUAUCAAGUUAGAGGUGAAAUCCCUAGGCUCAACCUAGGAACUGCCUUUAAUACUGAUAGGCUAGAGCAAAAUAGAGGAUAACGGAACUCCCAGUGUAAAGGUGGAAUUUGUAGAUAUUGGGAAGAACACCAGUUGCGAAAGCGGUUAUCUGGAUUUUAGCUGACGCUGAGAUGCGAAAGUGUGGGGAGCAAACAGGAUUAGAUACCCUGGUAGUCCACACCGUAAACGAUGAGUGCUAACUGUUGGGUUUUUUUACUCAGUGGUUGAGCUAACGCGUUAAGCACUCCGCCUGGGGACUACGGUCGCAAGACUAAAACUUAAAGGAAUUGACGGGGACCCGCACAAGCGGUGGAUUAUGUUGUUUAAUUCGAAGGUACGCGAAAAACCUUACCAACCCUUGACAUGUCUCACGCGACUUCUAGAGAUAGUUGUCUUCAGUUCGGCUGGUGAGAACACAGAUGUUGCAUGGCCGUCGUCAGCUCGUGUCGUGAGAUGUUGGGUUAAGUCCCGCAACGAGCGCAACCCCUAUCAUUAUUUGCCAUCAGGUUAUGCUGGGAACUAUAAUGAAACUGCCAAUGAUAAGUUGGAGGAAGGCGGGGAUGAUGUCAGGUCAUCACGGCUCUUACGGGUUGGGCCACAAACGUAAUACAAUGGUGCUUACAAUAAGUCGCAAUAUCGCAAGGUAGAGCUAAUCUUUUAAAAAGCAUCUCAGUCCGGAUUGUCCUCUGCAACUCGAGGGCAUGAAGUUGGAAUCGCUAGUAAUCGUGGAUCAGAAUGCCACGGUGAAUACGUUCUCGGGUCUUGUACACACCGCCCAUCAAGUCAUGGAAAUUGAUUUUACCCGAAGAUGGUACCUUAACCGCAAGGAGGGGGCUAGCUACGGUAAGAUUAGUAACUGGGAUUAAGUUGUAACAAGGUAGGCGUACGAGAACGUGCGCCUG